Molecule: ribosomal RNA, 718 nt
Filed under: uncultured Streptococcaceae bacterium
Lineage: Bacteria; Bacillati; Bacillota; Bacilli; Lactobacillales; Streptococcaceae
Description: bacterial SSU rRNA
Rfam family: Bacterial small subunit ribosomal RNA
Source: RNAcentral
AGAACGCUGAAGGAGGAGCUUGCUUCUCCGGAUGAGUUGCGAACGGGUGAGUAACGCGUAGGUAACCUGCCUGGUAGCGGGGGAUAACUAUUGGAAACGAUAGCUAAUACCGCAUAAGAGUAGAUGUUGCAUGACAUUUGCUUAAAAGGUGCAAUUGCAUCACUACCAGAUGGACCUGCGUUGUAUUAGCUAGUUGGUGGGGUAACGGCUCACCAAGGCGACGAUACAUAGCCGACCUGAGAGGGUGAUCGGCCACACUGGGACUGAGACACGGCCCAGACUCCUACGGGAGGCAGCAGUAGGGAAUCUUCGGCAAUGGACGGAAGUCUGACCGAGCAACGCCGCGUGAGUGAAGAAGGUUUUCGGAUCGUAAAGCUCUGUUGUAAGAGAAGAACGAGUGUGAGAGUGGAAAGUUCACACUGUGACGGUAUCUUACCAGAAAGGGACGGCUAACUACGUGCCAGCAGCCGCGGUAAUACGUAGGUCCCGAGCGUUGUCCGGAUUUAUUGGGCGUAAAGCGAGCGCAGGCGGUUAGAUAAGUCUGAAGUUAAAGGCUGUAGCUUAACCAUAGUACGCUUUGGAAACUGUUUAACUUGAGUGCAAGAGGGGAGAGUGGAAUUCCAUGUGUAGCGGUGAAAUGCGUAGAUAUAUGGAGGAACACCGGUGGCGAAAGCGGCUCUCUGGCUUGUAACUGACGCUGAGGCUCGAAAGCGUGGGG